Alnus glutinosa is the source of this 669-nucleotide long non-coding RNA. RefSeq lists it as uncharacterized. Lineage: Eukaryota; Viridiplantae; Streptophyta; Magnoliopsida; Fagales; Betulaceae. The transcript has 3 exons. The record is from RefSeq and is a predicted model, not a curated record.
UCAGGGUCAAUCUUGACAUUUCAAGUUUUUGGUGGCCCACUGAGUGAAGUUGGGGUGCCCUGCUUAUCAUAUUAGAGGACGGCGUAGUUAUUUAUACUGCAACAUUGUUUGGGUGGAAACUGGGAAAUAUUGAUCUCUUUGGCAUUGAAGAGAGGUGAGAAAACGCAGCGAAGGAGGCAAAAGGUAACUAUGGUGCUGCCAAGCUGUAGCUUGAUUCAAUUCUGUCAAGACAUUUAUGUGACUCAAGAUUGUGGUAAUUUCCACAAUCUUAUAGAUGAUUGUGCAGGAAUGGAUGUAGAACGUCAGGACAGUCAAGAUCAUUAUGCCGAUCAUGAUAUCUAUGGAUGAGACUAUCAGUUGCCUCUUUUGCGAGAUAGACUACCUUGUUUAGUCUAUCCUCCUUUUAUAUAAGCUGAAAUUAACUUCUAUACAUUACUUUAAUAUGUAAUAUUUUCACUUGAGGUUUGUAAUGUAUUAACACUAUGGUAACGUAGUACCAAUGCCGUAUGUGGCACAUAUGUUACAGCUUUAAUGUAUAUAUUAUGUAAGGACAUUCUGAUCAUAUUUAUUUAUAUUGAGGUAUUGUAAACAAGCUCUUAUAUGUUAUAAGGGAAUCAUCUCUCUCUUUCAAAAAACAAAAAAAGAUAUACAUAUUUUUUCCCUACGAAA